RNAcentral lists this long non-coding RNA (1917 nucleotides) under Sinocyclocheilus anshuiensis. Its description in RNAcentral is "lncRNA (ENSSANG00000000814.1)". The record is from RNAcentral. Lineage: Eukaryota; Metazoa; Chordata; Actinopteri; Cypriniformes; Cyprinidae.
CAAAAAGCCCAUGUACAUGCUUUUUAUUGCCUUUUUUGUUGUUGUUGUUACUAUCCACCUAUACUCCUCUCAACCAUUUCCUGUCUCCAUCUCUUUCAGAAUGCCAAGUCUUUGUCCUCCUCAGACAGCCUAGCGAAGGUGCAGGAGGUAGCAAGCUGGCUUUUGGAAAUGAACCAGGAUCUGCUGUCGGGGGGCAGCGGCAGCAGGGCGGCCCAGCAGCAGAGGCAGAGGCCUGGGGCAGCGGGGGCAGGUAACAGCACCUCCGGCCGCACACCUCAGCCCCAGGCGGAGCACAUGAAUCGGGUGUUGGAGGAGCAGGAGCAGGUGGCACAGCAACAGAGAAGAGAACCGGGCGAGGAGGAAGAGGGUGGACAAGAGCGGCCAAGGGAGGCAGAGGAGGAACCAUGGCCUUCCGGAGGUGAGCCAGUGGAGGAAGGACGGAGGAGCGAGGUGAACGGAGCCGAGAAGGGCGCCCAGUGGAUGUGGGAGCAGGAGCAGCAUCGGCGGCAUAGACGGCAUCGCGAGGAAGAGGCGGAGAAUGAGGAGGAGGAGAAUAAUAAUGCCGGAAGGGAAGGGCAGGUCGGGGUGGGACUUCGUUCAGAGGAAGACGACGACCGACCGGAGGAUGAGGAGGAAAUGGACCAGGAUAGCGAUGAGUUUGAGCAUUCAGGAGAGAGUGGGAGGGAAGAGGAGGAGGAGGAAGAGGCUGAAGAUGAGGAGGAAGGAGAGGAAGGCCUCCACUCUCCCUUCCUCAGGACCAGUGUGUCGGACCUUAAUGAUAACACAGACCAGUCCUCUGGACGACAACACCAAAGCUCACCAUCUGUCUGCAAGAAUAAGGUAAGCAGUCUUUUCAAACAAAAACCAUACUUUAAUUCACUACAUGUAUUUCCCCAGCAUUAUGCAAGUCAACAAAACAUUUAUCAUAGAAGCCUUGUUUAAUUUUGUGCACUAUCAGUUGGUGAACAGUAGGUGGCAGUGUGGUUUAACAGCUGAUGUUUUCACUGAGAUUGGCAGCUCCCUAUUUUAAUAGCUUUAAAUGCUCCUAUAAAGCUUAUUCUAGUCAUUGCUAUUCUUUCAUGCUGUUUAUUCUAAACUGCUAUUUGAAAGCCAUCACAAUUGUUCCUCACCUGCCAAUCACUCCAGUUAGUGUAGCUGAAUGACAGCACUGGCCAUGGUUGACUUUCAGGUCAGAAGCUUUCUAGUUCUGUCAAGUAAAAGACAUUUUUAAUUUUAAUAUUUUGUCAGGUCCACUUAUGAUGUGACCUAAAUUGAGGGGUUUGAUGUUGCCCUUAAAAAUUAACUUCUAACUUAAAGUUGGAACACUCUAUACAACUUUUACCAACAUUUUUGCCAAUUUGCUGUCUAGAAUGGUAAACAAUAGUUGCCAAAAAUAAGAGCCAGUCUGCAGAUUCUGGCCAGUCAGAGAAAAUCUUGUAGUAUAUGAUGGACACAGACUCGAGCACAUGAUUUUUGAACAUUUAAAACAUAUUUGUCAUGUAUCUCCUAGCAAAAAAAAAAAAAAAAAAGGCAUGUUUCUGCAUGACUCUAAGGCAGGGGUGGGCAAACUUUGACUCAAGGGCCAUAUCAGGUUUUUUUGCAAAUAACUGAGGGGCCACAUGGUAUAUGCGUUACAAAUGAAGCUUUCAUUUAAAAAAAAAAAAACAAUUUAAUCUAAAUUGGCAGCCAGUUACUACUGUACUGUAUGUAUACAUGUAUACUUCUACAUGGAAGUAUACAUGGCUCAUACCAUCUCUACUUUUUUUUAGCAUAAAAUGAGCAUUAUUAAAGUCGAUUGAUGUAUAGGUCACAUUGUAUCAUUUCAUUCAGAAGUAAUGUAAAAUAAACAAAACAUUUAUAAACAUUAUAAACAUCUAUUUUUGGUCCCCUCACUCCACAACAAAUCCUUUAAAUUUA